AAAUUUGAUUUUUUUUGCCAAAAUUAAGUGCGUUUUUAUUUCGGCACCUAGCUUCACUCUAUCUAUCUCGAUCUCAUACUCACUCUCUCUCUCAUUCUCUGCAUGCAAUUCUGUCUGAACUCACUCUCCUCUCUCUCUCUCUUAUGUCCAGCUCUCGCUCUCAUCUGUGUAUGCUAUCUCAAUGUCUACCUCUCUCCCUCUUGCUCCCUCUGUUUUUCUUUGUCUCCCUAUCACUUUCCCUCUUACAUACGUGGCACUCCGACGCCACACCAUCUGCCCGCCGCCGCAACAUUACUAGGGAGGAACCAACAGAGCCAUUUACAUAUAUGCAGCUGGAUCCCCCGACAAGAGAGGUGAAACUUGAGUGAAGCCACCUUAGUUAUCGGAAUCAAUAUCGCUCUGAGAUGUCGAACUUAAUUUCAAACCAUAGGGUAGCUAGUAGGGUCAGUCAAACACCUUUUCUAGUAGGUAGUGCUGUUGCCACCUCCCCACCUGAUAAGGGCACGACGGAUGUCCCUCCGGUCACGCCUUUGGGGCCAACAGUGUCUACGGCUCAUGCGUCAUCGACUUCUUCAGUGACAUAUCAUGUACUAAGUGCCCGGUGGACUCAUUGACGACCUCAGAGUUUUGAGGAGGCUAAGAGUCUGCUGAGGCUUCCUCUGUCCAUGGAGAGGGGUCCCAAACAGGUAACGCAACUUUCGCAUAGUAUAAUUGAAAUUUUGAACCAUUGUUUUAGUUGUUGUGAAAAUUGAACUUUUAGAUAAUUUGGUUUUUCAGGUAGGUUCAUAAAAAGUCAUUAGUUACAACAUAUUGUCAAGGAGGAUACUAAAAUAUGUUGGUGGAUGACAAAAGAUCCCCAAUCUUCUUUAGGAAAAGUUGGUUGAUAAAUUCUUUGGUUACACCCUUAAAAGGUUAUCUUUCUUAUUCUUUGAUUUUCUCAUUAGUGAAAAUCUUUAGUACAUUUUUCAAGGUAUGAAUAUGGUGUGUUAAAAUUUCAAAUAGACGAGACUACUCACAUCGAUAUUAUUCUCAACUUACAUAAUUACAUGUGCAAUCCAAUAUGUGUGUAGUUUCUUCACAAAUUCACGGCCAAUUAAGCAAUUAGAAGUGAAAACACUUGAUACAAGUUGUAAACUUUCUUUCAAAGUCCCCAAUGGGUAUAAACUGUUUGAAUUGUUGGGUGAACGUGUUGUUGUUGUUGUUAUAUUGUCUGCCGAUUUUAGGAAAUGUUAUAGUUUUAGGGGAGGUUCUACCGAAUUUUUGGUAGAAAAUAGAAUUCGUCUAAUGUUUAGUUUGUUUAUUUGGUAGUUCAAAAAAAAAAAAAAAAACAAAAACAAACCAGGGACCCAUGCAGACUUCUGAAGACGUCAUAGACCACUCACACCACGACCAAGAAGAUCACCAUUACGUGGGAUCCUCGACAUCGUGCGAUUGCAACAAAAAAGUAGCACAGUGUGUUGCCCAGCAACAUUGGGUCGGUUAUGAGGAAUCAUUGCCCCCUCCUGUGGGAGUCCUGGAAAGUUGUCCCAACUGAAGUCAAUGAAGCCGUUCUUCAUGAAUUAUCGAUAACAUCACUAUGAGGUCAUGAACCUUCAUGCGAAUCAAAAGCAGUACAUCAAUGACCUUUGCGUCGAGUUUGAUCUAGAGCAUGAUGGCGGCGCGCUGUAGAGUGUAGCUGGAGAUGCUAGGGAGCGGCGGAGGAAAAUUAUCCACAAAAGGAAGCGGGGUGGGGACGCCUACGACAGCUGCGGCGGAGGUUAAAUCGGGUGGUGGGACUGUAAAUGGGCCGGGUGUGGGGGCCACCACCGCGCCCUGGGCUUAGUCGCUUAAGGCGGUGACGGUGUUGUAGAUGGCGUAGGAUGAGUGGGCGGCGAUGAAGACGUUAUGAUACGACACUGCUUCUUUCAUGAAGAGCUUGCGAUCUUUGCAACGGGAGACCGCUUCUUCGUUCUCGAUCUUCGACUGGGUGCAGCCCAUGAUUAGCUAUUCAGCUGAGAUUGGGGAUAUGGGAAUAGAAGAUCGAAGGAGAUGCUGAUUUUUGAGGAAAUGGGCAUGGAAGAUUGAAGGAGAUACUGGUUUUUGAGGUGAGAAAGUUUUGGGGAGAAAGAAAGGGACGAAUAAUGGGGUUGGCGUUUGGGCAGGAAGGAGGGAGAGGGUUUUAAUUUUUAAUUAAUUUUAAUUGUUAAAAAAAAUGAAUAAUUUAAUAUUAAUUAAUUAAUAUUUUAUUUCAA
Molecule: non-coding RNA, 2231 nt
Organism: Malus domestica (apple)
Lineage: Eukaryota; Viridiplantae; Streptophyta; Magnoliopsida; Rosales; Rosaceae
Source: RefSeq, a predicted model, not a curated record